Molecule: ribosomal RNA, 761 nt
Filed under: uncultured archaeon
Lineage: Archaea
Description: bacterial SSU rRNA
Rfam family: Archaeal small subunit ribosomal RNA
Source: RNAcentral
AACGUAGCAAUACGUGGCACACGGCUCAGUAACACGUAGUCAACAUAACCAGAGGACGUGGAUAAACUCGGGAAACUGAGGCUAAACCGCGAUAGACCAAGAUACCUGGAAUGGUUUUUGAUCAAAAUCUACAUGGCCUUUGGAUUGGACUGCGACCGAUCAGGCUGUUGGUGAGGUAAUGGCCCACCAAACCUGUAACCGGUACGGGCUCUGAGAGGAGGAGCCCGGAGAUGGGUACUGAGAAAAGGACCCAGGCCCUAUGGGGCGCAGCAGGCGCGAAACCUCUGCAAUAGGCGAAAGCCUGACAGGGUUAUUCUGAGUGACUUUCGCUAAGAAAGUCUUUUGACAUCUCUAAAAAUGGUGUAGAAUAAGGGGUGGGCAAGUCUGGUGUCAGCCGCCGCGGUAAUACCAGCACCCCGAGUGGUCGGGACGAUUAUUGGGCCUAAAGCAUCCGUAGCCGGUUUUACAAGUCCUCCGUUAAAUCCAACUGCUUAACAGAUGGGCCGCGGAGGAUACUAUAAGACUAGGAGGCAGGAGAGGCAAGCGGUACUCAGUGGGUAGGGGUAAAAUCCGUUGAUCCAUUGAAGACCACCAGUGGCGAAGGCGGCUUGCCAGAAUGCGCUCGACGGUGAGGGAUGAAAGCUGGGGGAGCAAACCGGAUUAGAUACCCGGGUAGUCCCAGCUGUAAACGAUGCAGACUCGGUGAUGGACUAGCUUAAUGCUAGUCCAGUGCCGCAGGGAAGCCGUUAAGUCUGCCGCCU